Molecule: long non-coding RNA, 799 nt
Organism: Trifolium pratense (red clover)
Lineage: Eukaryota; Viridiplantae; Streptophyta; Magnoliopsida; Fabales; Fabaceae
Exons: 2
Source: RefSeq, a predicted model, not a curated record
CAUCAUUCCGGUUUACGGUCGUUACGAUACGUAGGAGUAUCUGACCGUUGGAGGGUCGAGCACGUCUUGCGGGCUCUUCGUGGUAUACUUGCUCGGGUCGUAUUUGUUCGACACCCUCUGAGGCUCGAGCGUGAUGCUCGGUCCAGAACAAAAGAGAAAUAAAAAAAUAUAAUAAAAGUUUAGUAAAAAAGAAUGACCUUUAAUGAUCGUCAAAAUUUUCAUGUGAGAUUUUCACUAUAAUUGAGUGAUCAAUUGAAUGAGCUAAUAAGACAUACCCAACACAUUGAAAUAUGGAAGAGAUACUUAAUAAUUCUUGAUUUAUAAAUGAUUUGUUGCUAUUAAAAAUUACUAAAUUAAAGUUAACGAUGCAUAGAUUUUUACUUAUAAAGUGAUAUGCCAAUUUCCCAUUUAUCAUAUGAAAAGAGAAUAAAAGACAUGGCUAAAAUUGUAAAUUUUGUUCAAGCUUUGAUCAUCUUUCUUUCUCUAAUUGUUCUUGCAAUUGCAACUAGAGACCAUCGUCUGUUCUGUUCUACUAACAAUGAUUGUCAACACAAUAAAUGUAGUGCUAAUUUUGUUCCGAAGUGCAUUUGGAUUAUUUGUGGCUGCCAACCUUUGAAAAAGUAAAGUUAAAAUAUAAAUCUAUGCUAUGCUCAAAGCUUAUUAUUUUCUUGUAAGUUAUGAUGAUAUUGGUAAUUGAAGAAUAAAUUAAAUAAAUACUAUAUAGUAUUAUUACCUCGGUACUGUUUAAGUUAGACAUGUAAAAAAUUAAUGUUAUACACAAUAUAUUUAAUCCUUUUAA